AUGAUCCAUCCACAAUCUUCGUCGCACAUGGCGCCGUUAGCCGACCAGAUCGCCACCGCGUCGUCUCCUCCUGCGUCGACCUCAGAGCCGCCGCCGCCCUCUCCCCUUCCGAGCCCACACUCUUUUAUCUCUUCCUCGCCUCCUCUCCUCCCCUCGCGCCGACACCCACCAUUUCCAUCGGCCAACAACCAUUCCCAUGCCGUCUCUCAUCUCAAGCCGGCGGCUGCUGCUCUCACGAGUGGCAGUUGCAGCCCCGCCCCUCCCCUGCCGUCCAUAGACGGAGACGUAGCAAUGGAGGCAUACGCCACCGGCACGCCACUGACUCGAUCUAGGAGCAGUGAGAACUGCAGCGCCAGAGAGGAUGCCAGGACAAGGACGGAGGAGAAUGAGCUGCACAUUUGGAUGAAGGUCUCAAAUCCUCUAUGGUGCCAUGACAUGGACGUCGUCUUGGCCGCCGGCGUGUUGUCGAAGGAGGUAUUUUUUUCUGGUCCCUUGCUUGGCCCUCUACUAUCUUUGCCUAGAUAUGAUGAUUUUCUAGGGAGAAUGAAAUCAUAUUAUUAA
RNAcentral lists this ribosomal RNA (561 nucleotides) under Triticum aestivum (bread wheat). RNAcentral describes it as "partial small subunit ribosomal RNA". Lineage: Eukaryota; Viridiplantae; Streptophyta; Magnoliopsida; Poales; Poaceae. The record is from RNAcentral.